This 225-nucleotide ribosomal RNA is filed under the name uncultured bacterium. RNAcentral's name for it is "partial 16S ribosomal RNA". It matches the Rfam family "Bacterial small subunit ribosomal RNA", at positions 28 to 245 of the family's 1533-position model. The record is from RNAcentral.
GACGAACGCUGGCGGCGUGCUUAACACAUGCAAGUCGAGCGGUAAGGCCCUUUCGGGGGUACGACGAGCGGCGAACGGGUGAGUAACACGUGGGUGACCUGCCCUCAGCUCUGGGAUAAGCCGUCGGGAAACCGGGUACUAAUACGUGGAUAUGACUCCAUGACGCAUGUUGGUGGGGUAGGAAAGCCUUGUGCGGCUGAGGAGUCGGGCCCGCGGCCUAUCAGC